Molecule: ribosomal RNA, 952 nt
Filed under: uncultured bacterium
Lineage: Bacteria
Description: bacterial SSU rRNA
Rfam family: Bacterial small subunit ribosomal RNA
Source: RNAcentral
GUCGAGCGAUGAUUUUUUGGAAGAGAUGGUCUUCGUAAGGAGAUUGUCUUGGAUGAAUUAUCAGAGCGGCAGAUUGGUGAGUAACACGUGAGUAAUUUACCCUUAAGACGGGGAUAGCUUCGCGAAAGUGGAGGUAAUACCCGAUGUGUUUACAUGAACGCAGGUUUGUGUAAGUAAAGUUGCUUCGUAAGAGGUGAUGUUUAAGGAUGAGCUCGCGUCCUAUCAGCUAGUUGGUAGGGUAACGGCCUACCAAGGCUUUUGACGGGUAGCUGGCCUGAGAGGGUGGUCAGCCACAUGGGGACUGAGACACUGCCCCAACUCCUACGGGAGGCUGCAGUCGAGGAUAUUUAGCAAUGGGCGAAAGCCUGACUAUGUGACGCCGCGUGAGGGAUGAAGGUCUUCGGAUUGUAAACCUCUUUCGAUAGGGAAGAAAAUUCCGGUUAACUGCCGGAACUGACGGUACCUAUAGAAGAAGCCAUGGCUAACUCUGUGCCAGCAGCCGCGGUAAUACAGAGAUGGCGAGCGUUACUCGGAUUUAUUGGGUGUAAAGGGCAGGUAGGCGGCUAUGCAAGUUGGGGGUGAAAUCCUGUGGCUCAACCACAGAACUGCCUUCAAAACUGCAUGGCUUGAGGCUAGAAGAGGAGAGCGGAAUUCCCGGUGUAAGAGUGAAAUCUGUAGAUAUCGGGAGGAACACCAGUGGCGAAAGCGGCUCUCUAGUCUAGCCCUGACGCUAAGCUGCGAAAGCUAGGGGAGCAAACAGGAUUAGAUACCCUGGUAGUCCUAGCCGUAAACGAUGAGCACUAGGUGUUGGGGGUUUACCUUCAGCGCCGUAAGUUAACACGUUAAGUGCUCCACCUGGGGACUACGACCGCAGGGUUAAACUCAAGGAAUUGACGGGGCCCGCACAGCGGUGGAACAUGUGGUUCAUUCGACGCUACGCGAGAACCUCACC